Molecule: unclassified non-coding RNA, 1292 nt
Filed under: Leishmania donovani
Lineage: Eukaryota; Euglenozoa; Kinetoplastea; Trypanosomatida; Trypanosomatidae
Description: gene:LdHU3.06.0520(CDS-product:hypothetical_prote in_conserved)
Source: RNAcentral
UACGGUUAUCGGCGGCAGCAGGCGAUAAAAGUCGCACGGCGCCGCUGCUGCACCGCACCCGCCGCACACCCAUCGAGAAACACCAUCAGCGAUUCGUAUUGUCUUUGUGACGGCAUUCCUCUCUUCCCUCGACCGACGGCCUACACGGCCACCUCCACACAUACCUCCUUAUCACCCUUUCUCUCUCUCUCAGCCACGUGGCCGAGUCACGUUUCGAAUUCGCCGUCUUUCUGGUCACGCACGCACGCACACACACGCCCUCUUCUUCUGAUCGUCAUUAUUGGUUCUCUUCCUCCAACUCAGACGUUCGUCACUCGUUCUCCUUUCUACACCUCUCUUCUUCCUUUUUCUUCUCGCUGGCGACACCCACACGCAUAUAAAUCCGUGGCCAGCAUGUCUCACAUGACCGCCGAUCUCGAGUACUUCAAGUGCGACAUGUGCGGGGUGUACAUGCAUCGAGACAUCUUCUGUGAUCAUCGACGGGACUGCCACGGUCUGGGUAGCACGCAGCUGAAGCGCGGUGAGUGCCAGCGGAUUGCCGAAGCGCUCGGGCGGGAGACCCGCGAGCUGCUGCUGAGAAAGGAUGGCAGUGGCAUGCGUGCGGCCUCUUCGAGCCAAGGUAGUACACACACUCAGACUGGCGCUGCUUGCACGACCACAGUGACUGCUGGGGAACGCAAAGACCUAGAAGCGCAUGCUGAGUCGACCAGGUAUGUCGAAGGAGCGGCGGCGGCGUCCUCCGGACACGUGCCGCUCUCAUCUUCUGCUGCUGUGUCGAGCGUCCGUGCCGGCGGCGCAGUGCCAAUCAGUUUGACGCUGUCGACGAAGGCGAUGGAGAAGCGGCAGGAGGCGCGAACGCGGCGCGCCGUGUCGGAUCGCUAUCAAGCCGGUGUUGAUGCGAAGAUCAGCUCAUUGCUGACGGAGGGCAAAAAGGCGGCAUUGCUAGACUUCUUGAAUUCUUGAGAGAAGAGCGAGCGCCUGCACUUGCUUCCCAGGUCCUGAGAAGGACCACACGUGUGCGUGUGUGUUUGUCGUUGAUGUAGAGUACUUUAUGCGUUGGUCCUAGCCGUGUGUGUGUGCGUGCGUGUGUGUGUUUUUCGGCGCGAGCAAGGCGUUGACCCCAUUCUCUGUAUGCCUUCGUCCUCCUCCCUCGCUGUCCUUCUAUCGCUGUUCGCUCACCGUCACGUCCUUGCCCUUCCCCUCUGCGCUCCUCUCUGGGCGUCACGAUAGGGCGGGGAGAGGCUCAGGACACUUGGUGGUGCAGGGGUGCAGGUGCUGACGAGCAGAAACAC